AUAUCAUGUUUGUACAAAUAAAGCUUGCCUGAAGAUCAGGGAGCAGAGCUAACCACUAGCUAACCAUAGAGGUCUGGUGGUCUGUACAGACAAAUAGAAAGUGGUAUGGCUGGGUGGAGAGAGAAAGUGAUAAGGCAGCAGGAAACAGGAACUCAGUCUCUUUUCGACUGGGAAGUUGAGAAAUAAGAUAGUCAUGCUUUUACUCCUUUGUCCCUCUGAUUUCUCAAUGUUUUCCCCAAUAUCUGACUCCGGGCUUUUAUUAUUAAGACCUAUUAGAACUUGUGCUACAGAGAAGGAGGAAGCGGGGAGGAGGAAGAAGAAAGAAGGAGGAAGAAUGUUCAACAUCCUUUGUCAUCAGGAAAAUAAAAAUAAAAACUACUUAGGAUUUUAUCUUACACCAGUGAGGACAGUAAAGCAAAUGACAGUUCAUGCUGGUGUGGAUGUGGGGAAAUGGGAACUCACCCAUCGCUGGUGGGAGUGCAAACUUCUACAGUUACAAUGGAAAUCAGAAUGGCAGUUCCUCAGGAAGCUUGGAAUUGGCCUACCUCAAGAUCCAGCUAUAUCACUCUUAGGCAUAUUCAAAGCACUCUCUAUACCCUGCGACAGAGACACUUGUUCAUCUAUGUUCAUUGCUUGUAUGUUAAUAAUAGCCAGAAGUUGUAAACACCCUAGAUGUCUAUCACCUAAGGAAUGGAUAAUGAAAAAGUGGUAUAUUUACCCAAUGGAAUAUAAUAUAUAAUGAAAUUAUGAAAUUUGCAGGUAAGUGGAUGGAGAUAGAAGAAAAAAUAAUCCAGAGUGAGGUAACCCAGACCCAAAAAGACAAAUAUUAUAUGUUUCUCUUAUAUGUGAAUAUUAGCUUGUAAGUUUUUAAUAUGCAUGCUUCAAUAUGUAUACCCAUAUAGAGUUUAGGUAUCAAGUAAGGGACUGGGGAGGGGAGGGUAUUCCAAGUAAGGGGAAGUUAAUAUAUAGUUAUGAAUAAAUGAUGUGGGGAAGAGACUGGAGCAGGAGGAUUAAAUAGGGAGGGAGUGGAAAAGAGGGGUGAGGGAGAGACAACUAACACUAAGGACUAUUUGAAGGGCUAUAUGGAAACUUAUUAUCAUAGACGCUUCUAAAAAUAAAUACAUAUACAAAAGAAAUCUAAAUGGAGUCACCAAAUAAUGGGGAGACAAUGUCCCAACUAGACAUCUCUCACCACCCAGUGAAACCUCCAGUGCCAGAAUGGGUCACAUCUCAUUGAGUUGUUGGCCAAAGAGGACCAUAGAAACCCCAAAACAACCAGGCUAUUGCCAAAGCUACUGGUUGCUCUCCACAACCUGAUGGUAGACCCCAUUGCUGAAGACAGCACUUAUAUAGGUCAUUAAACACAGAGAAGUCAACUGGUCUCUAACUAGAGGUCUCACCCCUAGUGACUAGUGUUUGUGGUAUUGGAAGGUACUCUGCAUGCUACCAGAGGAGAAAGGUACACACUAAUCCAUCUACAAACCCUUCAAUUUACAACCGUUACCCACCUGAAAGGUAUGUUGUACAAUAAUGGCACAAACGUUGUGGGAAUAACCAGCCACUAUCUACUUGGGAUCAGAGUUAAGGAUCUCUCCCUGAAAUGGAAUCCACACCUGAUAUUGCCCAGGCAACCAAGAACCUGAGACCAGGUCAGCACCUUGCUCUACCAUCAUCAGAGAAGCUUCCUCUUGCAGUAGAUGGGAACUAACACUGAGACCCACACCUGGACCAUGUGCAGAGGGUGAGAGAUUUGGAAACACUCAGUAAUAAGUAGGAUGCCUUCAUCAAAGUCCCCCAACCAGGGAUCAGGGAGCUGUGCAGAAGGCGGAGAGAUUGUAAGAGUCAGAGGAGGUGUCUGACGAAUGUCUUCAAGACACACGCGAGCUCCCAGAAACUGGCAGCAUGCACAGGGUACCAGCACUGAGAAGAGGAAGUGGAAACAGGCUUCCAUCCCGAACAAAGAUGCUAUCUGCAAUUGACAACCACUCGCAAAGGAAACAUUGUGUUUUUUUCCAGUGGAGUUUCAGUCCUGAGUUCAAUUCCCAGCAACCACUUGGUGACUCACAACCAUCUGCA
Molecule: non-coding RNA, 2076 nt
Organism: Myodes glareolus (Bank vole)
Lineage: Eukaryota; Metazoa; Chordata; Mammalia; Rodentia; Cricetidae
Source: RefSeq, a predicted model, not a curated record